UGAACGCUAGCUACAGGCUUAACACAUGCAAGUCGAGGGGCAGCAUGGUCUUAGCUUGCUAAGGCCGAUGGCGACCGGCGCACGGGUGAGUAACGCGUAUCCAACCUGCCUUACACUCUUGGACAGCCUUCUGAAAGGGAGAUUAAUACAAGAUGUUAUCAUGAGUAAGCAUUUUCGCAUGAUUAAAGGUUUACCGGUGUAAGAUGGGGAUGCGUUCCAUUAGAUAGUAGGCGGGGUAACGGCCCACCUAGUCUUCGAUGGAUAGGGGUUCUGAGAGGAAGGUCCCCCACAUUGGAACUGAGACACGGUCCAAACUCCUACGGGAGGCAGCAGUGAGGAAUAUUGGUCAAUGGACGAGAGUCUGAACCAGCCAAGUAGCGUGAAGGAUGAAGGUUCUAUGGAUUGUAAACUUCUUUUAUACGGGAAUAAACGGAUCCACGUGUGGAUUUUUGCAUGUACCGUAUGAAUAAGGAUCGGCUAACUCCGUGCCUGCAGCCGCGGUAAUACGGAGGAUCCGAGCGUUAUCCGGAUUUAUUGGGUUUAAAGGGAGCGUAGAUGGGUUGUUAAGUCAGUUGUGAAAGUUUGCGGCUCAACCGUAAAAUUGCAAUUGAUACUGGCAGUCUUGAGUACAGUUGAGGUAGGCGGAAUUCGUGGUGUAGCGGUGAAAUGCUCAGAUAUCACGAAGAACUCCGAUUGCGAAGGCAGCUUACUAACCUGUAACUGACAUUGAUGCUCGAAAGUGUGGGUAUCAAACAGGAUUAGAUACCCUGGUAGUCCACACGGUAAACGAUGAAUACUCGCUGUAGGCGAUAUACAGUCUGCGGCCAAGCGAAAGCAUUAAGUAUUCCACCUGGGGAGUACGCCGGCAACGGUGAAACUCAAAGGAAUUGACGGGGGCCCGCACAAGCGGAGGAACAUGUGGUUUAAUUCGAUGAUACGCGAGGAACCUUACCCGGGCUUAAAUUGCAACCGAAUAUGGCGGAAACGCUAUAGCUAGCAAUAGCGGUUGUGAAGGUGCUGCAUGGUUGUCGUCAGCUCGUGCCGUGAGGUGUCGGCUUAAGUGCCAUAACGAGCGCAACCCUUGCCGAUAGUUACUAACAGGUUAUGCUGAGGACUCUGUCGGGACUGCCAUCGUAAGAUGUGAGGAAGGUGGGGAUGACGUCAAAUCAGCACGGCCCUUACGUCCGGGGCUACACACGUGUUACAAUGGGGGGUACAGAGGGCUGCUACCACGCAAGUGGAUGCCAAUCCCAAAAACCUCUCUCAGUUCGGAUUGAAGUCUGCAACCCGACUUCAUGAAGCUGGAUUCGCUAGUAAUCGCGCAUCAGCCACGGCGCGGUGAAUACGUUCCCGGGCCUUGUACACACCGCCCGUCAAGCCAUGGGAGCCGGGGGUACCUGAAGUGCGUAACCGCAAGGAGCGCCCUAGGGUAAAACUGGUGACUGGGGCUAAG
RNAcentral lists this ribosomal RNA (1453 nucleotides) under uncultured organism. Its description in RNAcentral is "SSU rRNA". It matches the Rfam family "Bacterial small subunit ribosomal RNA". The record is from RNAcentral.